This is a long non-coding RNA of Cyprinus carpio carpio, 684 nucleotides long. The record is from Ensembl. NCBI's taxonomy places the organism in Eukaryota, Metazoa, Chordata, Actinopteri, Cypriniformes, Cyprinidae.
AUGACUCGUGUUGAAGUGUUUUCCAGCAUGUGUUCGGGGCCUAAAGGCCUUCGCUUCUCUGAACACCAGCCCCACCUGUCAAGACCAGCUCCACACUUUCAUCUGAUGCCAUUGUGCUCUGCCUUCACAAACGGGGCGCAUUAUCCUGCUGAAAGAGGCCACAGCCACCAGGGAAUAUGGUUUCCAUGAAAGAGUGUACAUGGUCUGCAACAAUGCUUAGGUACAGUAGGUGGUACAUGUCAAAGUAACAUCCACAUGGAUGGCAGGACCCAAGGUUUCCCAGCAGAACAUUUCCUGAAGCAUCACACUGCCUCCACCGGCUUGCCUUCUUCCCAUAGUGCAUCCUUGUGCCAUGUGUUCCCCAGAUAAGGCACACACACACCUGGCCAUCCACAUGAUGUAAAAGAAAACAUGAUUCAUCAGACCAGGCCACCUUCUUCCAUUGCUCCGUGUCCAGUUCUGAUGCUCACGUGCCCACUGUUGACGCUUUCAGUGAUGGACAGGGGUCAGCAUGGGCACCCAGACUGGUCUGCAGCUAUGCAGCCCCAUACACAACAAACUGUGAUGCACUGUGUAUUCUGACACCUUUCCAUCAGAACCAGAAUUAACUUCUUGAGCAAUAUGAGCUACAGUAGCUUGUCGUAGUAUCAGACCACACGGGCCAGCCUUCACUCCCCACGUGCA